AAUAAACACAGCUUCCAGCCAUGCAAAGCACCACAGUUCAGGCUCUGCCUAAUAACAGCAGGCGGGGUGGCUCCUCUCCCAGCAGCAGAAAGGACCUGGUGACCACAGGAUGGAAAGGAAAACACAGGGAGAAAAACAGCAGCUCAAGAAUGUGCUCCCAGAGGAUCCUGCUCUCUCAGGACCAGCACGGAGAAUGCCGAGGUGUGCGCAGUCCAUGGGCACCUGAGCUGGAAUGCAGGGAGAGAUGGAGGUGUCUGCAGCAUCCUGCAGCUCUGGGAGGAAGGACACAUGUCUCCAGGCCAGUCCAGCUCCAGACAGGGCCACCACACCCUGUCACGGGGCAGUGCCAGUGACAAAACUCCUUGCAACCCAUGGGGCA
Molecule: long non-coding RNA, 379 nt
Organism: Pseudopodoces humilis (Tibetan ground-tit)
Lineage: Eukaryota; Metazoa; Chordata; Aves; Passeriformes; Paridae
Source: RefSeq, a predicted model, not a curated record